This 492-nucleotide ribosomal RNA is filed under the name uncultured bacterium. RNAcentral describes it as "partial 16S ribosomal RNA". It matches the Rfam family "Bacterial small subunit ribosomal RNA", at positions 28 to 507 of the family's 1533-position model. The record is from RNAcentral.
GAUGAACGCUAGCUACAGGCUUAACACAUGCAAGUCGAGGGGAAGCGACAUCGAAAGCUUGCUUUUGAUGGGCGUCGACCGGCGCACGGGUGAGUAACGCGUAUCCAACCUGCCCACCACUUGGUGAUAACCUUGCGAAUGUAAGACUAAUACCCAAUGACGUCUCUAGAAGACAUCUGAAAGAGAUUACAGAUUUAUCGGUGCUGGCGGGGGAUGCGUCUGAUUAGCUUGUUGUCGGGGUACCGGCCCACCACGGCGACGAUCAGUAGGGGUUUUGAGAGGAAGGUGCCUCACAUUGGAACUGAGCCACGUGCGAAACACCUACGGGAGGCAGCAGUGAGGAAGAUUGGACAAUGGAAGAGAGUAUGAACCAGCCAAGUAGCGUGCAGGAUGACGGCCCUAUGGGUUGUAAACUGCUUUUAGAAGGGAAUAAAGGGAGGCUAGUGAGACUUUUUGCAUGUACCGGAUGAAUAAGGACCGGCUAAUUCCGUG